RNAcentral lists this long non-coding RNA (200 nucleotides) under Carica papaya (papaya). RNAcentral describes it as "long non-coding RNA (CPAP_LNC008187)". Lineage: Eukaryota; Viridiplantae; Streptophyta; Magnoliopsida; Brassicales; Caricaceae. The record is from RNAcentral.
AAUAAAAUGGCCCAAAGCCUAAAUCAGAAGAAGAGAAAAAACCACCCUCUUUUUUUUCUUCUUCUUUUGGUCUUCUUCUUCUCCUCUAUAUGUCGGCCAAGGCCACUACUUCUCCUCUACACACUGUGACCAGGAGGUCGUGAUUAUUUUACUGGCUUGAUUGUGAGGUCGCGCUGCACCAGGUGUGGUCGCAACUAUGA